RNAcentral lists this transfer RNA (84 nucleotides) under Pyrenochaeta sp. MPI-SDFR-AT-0127. RNAcentral's name for it is "tRNA-Asn". The record is from RNAcentral. Lineage: Eukaryota; Fungi; Ascomycota; Dothideomycetes; Pleosporales; Cucurbitariaceae.
UCCUCCGUGGCGCAAUUGGCUAGCGCGUUCGACUGUUAUACAUAGCAAAUCGAGAGGUUGAAAGUUCGAGCCUUUCCGGGGGAG